RNAcentral lists this ribosomal RNA (440 nucleotides) under uncultured bacterium. RNAcentral describes it as "partial 16S ribosomal RNA". It matches the Rfam family "Bacterial small subunit ribosomal RNA", at positions 338 to 795 of the family's 1533-position model. The record is from RNAcentral.
CCUACGGGAGGCAGCAGUGUGGAAUAUUGCGCAAUGGGCGAAAGCCUGACGCAGCGACGCCGCGUGAGGGAUGAAGUAAUUCGUUAUGUAAAGCUCUAUCAGCAGGGAAGAAAAUGACGGUACCUGAGUAAGAAGCCCCGGCUAACUACGUGCCAGCAGCCGCGGUAAUACGUAGGGGGCACGCGUUAUCCGGAUUUACUGGGUGUAAAGGGAGCGUAGACGGCAGUGCAAGUCUGGAGUGAAAGGCGGGGGCGCAACCCCCGGACUGCUCUGGAAACUGUACGGCUGGAGUGCAGGAGAGGUAAGUGGAAUUCCUAGUGUAGCGGUGAAAUGCGUAGAUAUUAGGAGGAACACCAGUGGCGAAGGCGGCUUACUGGACUGUAACUGACGUUGAGGCUCGAAAGCGUGGGGAGCAAACAGGAUUAGAUACCCUGGUAGUC